AUGAAUAAAUGGCGAAAACAAUAUAAUUAUAACAUAUAUUUUUAUUUUACUUAUUUUAGGUCUGUGAAGCCAAACUUGAUGCUGGGGAUUUAUUUUUGUCAGUGGAGUCAAAUGGUUGAAGCAGAAUUUGCCCGUCUUACAUCUGUUGACCUGAAAGGGUUCCUUUUUGCUGUGCUUGACCAUUAUGGAGAGGUUCGUGGAGCUGUAGAAAAUCAAGAGCGGCAUAGGAGGGCUAACUAGGCUCAUAAAAUGCUUCGGAGAUGAUGUAAGUGUUCAACUGCGAAAUCUAAUCCUUUGUUUAAGUUUUAGGUUAUCCAGUUCAACUGAUGAACUCAUUGAAAGAAAGCUGAUAAGUAAAGUCUGUCAUCAUAUUUCACAACUGGACAUUUAGUGUGGUAACUUUUACAGAAUCUAUGUAUAUUGGUGGUAGGUUGGAUAUCAUAUUCUACUUGAAUGUCCUGAUAAGCCUGAUUCAAAAUCUCCAAUGAUAAUCAUAUAUUGAUGGAAUUAUGUAUCAAAAAGCUGUGAAGUUGGAGCUGUCUACAUGCUUCAUAAACACUGUUUAAAAAGUGUUUUGUUUUUGUUUUUGACUUCUUUGACCAGAGCCCUACACAAAGGAAGAGGACAGAGGACCUCAUUUUCUAAAGGAAGAUCCCUCACACACUUUCAAGACUGUGAAGGUUAGCAUUGUUUCUUUUAGUAAAUUUAAUAAUGACAGCACCACAGUGGAUUUUAAAUGAAACAUGUGGCAUCUAUGAAACAACAGAUGCCACAUGAUAACAUGUGUACUUUUUCCUCACCAAAUGUAUUAUUACAAGAUCUUUGACACUGGAUUUGGUCUAGGUUUCAGAGAAACUAACUGGCAAGCUAGCAUUGAUAUUAUUAGUGUCUUGUGUUUAUUCAUGUCUUCACCAGGGUCUUUGACAUUUCGCUGCUGUACUGUUCACUUCAGCUUUACGUUUGAUUUCUCACAUUGUAUAUUGUAAUGGCAGAGAUAUUAGGAUAUUUAAGGGGCUGCAGUGGCUGCUACAGCUGUGGGGGCAAUACUUUGGUGAAAUGUCCUGGACCCUGGAAAAGAGACUGUGUAGACUGGGUAAGCAAUUAAAGGUUACUGGCCGAGAGUCAUUGGGCAGCUGGGUAAAGGUGGAUGUUGAUAUUCAGUGCCAAUUAUGCAACCUGUUCAGCCACGUCUAUAUGCUCUUUUUUCAUGCUGUUAAUAUAGGGGGAAAAAAUAAACUUUAAUCAAUAAACUGAUUAAAGAAGCAUUGUCUAUGGAGCCACAAUCUGAUCCUGUAGUGUAGCUGCAGUUUGCACAUUUCAUGUAUUCUCGGCC
RNAcentral lists this long non-coding RNA (1333 nucleotides) under Oreochromis niloticus (Nile tilapia). Its description in RNAcentral is "lncRNA (ENSONIG00000038260.1)". The record is from RNAcentral. Lineage: Eukaryota; Metazoa; Chordata; Actinopteri; Cichliformes; Cichlidae.